AACGAACGCUGGCGGCGUGGAUAAGACAUGCAAGUCGAACGAUCACUAUUGGGUAGCAAUAUUCGGUAGUGGGAGUGGCGCAAGGGUGCGUAACACGUGGGUAAUUUGCCGUAAAGUCUGGGAUAACUUGCUGAAAGGCGAGCUAAUACCGGAUGUGAUUGCUGGAGGGCAUCCUCUGGCAGUUAAAGUCGGGGACCGUAAGGCCUGACACUUUUCGAUAAGCCCGCGGCCUAUCAGCUAGUUGGUGAGGUAACGGCUCACCAAGGCUAAGACGGGUAGCUGGUCUGAGAGGACGACCAGCCUCACUGGAACUGAGACACGGUCCAGACACCUACGGGUGGCAGCAGUCGAGAAUUUUUCACAAUGGGCGAAAGCCUGAUGGAGCGACGCCGCGUGGGGGAUGAAGGGCUUCGGCUCGUAAACCCCUGUCAUUCGCGAACAAAGGUGCCGGCCGUAACAUGCCGUCGCCUGAUAGUAGCGGAAGA
RNAcentral lists this ribosomal RNA (485 nucleotides) under uncultured bacterium. RNAcentral describes it as "bacterial SSU rRNA". It matches the Rfam family "Bacterial small subunit ribosomal RNA", at positions 29 to 485 of the family's 1533-position model. The record is from RNAcentral.